AGCGCAGACGGUUAUUUAAGCAAGAUGUGAAAGCCCCGGGCUCAACCUGGGAACUGCGUUUUGAACUGGGUAACUAGAGUGUGUCAGAGGGGGGUAGAAUUCCACGUGUAGCAGUGAAAUGCGUAGAGAUGUGGAGGAAUACCGAUGGCGAAGGCAGCCCCCUGGGAUAACACUGACGCUCAUGCUCGAAAGCGUGGGUAGCAAACA
Molecule: ribosomal RNA, 207 nt
Filed under: uncultured bacterium
Lineage: Bacteria
Description: partial 16S ribosomal RNA
Rfam family: Bacterial small subunit ribosomal RNA
Source: RNAcentral